Molecule: ribosomal RNA, 388 nt
Filed under: uncultured bacterium
Lineage: Bacteria
Description: bacterial SSU rRNA
Rfam family: Bacterial small subunit ribosomal RNA
Source: RNAcentral
GACGAACGCUGGCGGCGUGCUUAACACAUGCAAGUCGAACGGUAAGGCCCUUCGGGGUACGACGAGUGGCGAACGGGUGGAGUAACACGUGGGUGAUCUGCCCUGCACUUCGGGAUAAGCCUGGGAAACUAGGUCUAAUACCGGAUAGGACUCCUGGCUUCAUGGUUGGGGGUGUAAAGCUUUUGUCGGUGUGGGGAUGGGCCCGCGGCCUAUCAGCUUGUCGGUGGGGUAAUGGCCUACCAAGGCGACGACGGGUAGCCGGCCUGAGAGGGUGACCGGCCACACUGGGACUGAGAUACGGCCCAGACUCCUACGGGAGCAGCAGUGGGAAUAUUGCACAAUGGGCGCAAGCCUGAUGCAGCGACGCCGCGUGAGGGAUGACGGCCUU